GAUGAACGCUGGCGGCGUGCCUAAUACAUGCAAGUCGAGCGAACGGACGAGAAGCUUGCUUCUCUGAUGUUAGCGGCGGACGGGUGAGUAACACGUGGAUAACCUACCUAUAAGACUGGGAUAACUUCGGGAAACCGGAGCUAAUACCGGAUGAUAUUUUGAACCGCAUGGUUCAAAAGUGAAAGACGGUCUUGCUGUCACUUAUAGAUGGAUCCGCGCUGCAUUAGCUAGCUGGUAAGGUAACGGCUUACCAAGGCAACGAUGCAUAGCCGACCUGAGAGGGUGAUCGGCCACACUGGAACUGAGACACGGUCCAGACUCCUACGGGAGGCAGCAGUAGGGAAUCUUCCGCAAUGGGCGAAAGCCUGACGGAGCAACGCCGCGUGAGUGAUGAAGGUCUUCGGAUCGUAAAACUCUGUUAUUAGGGAAGAACAUAUGUGUAAGUAACUGUGCACAUCUUGACGGUACCUAAUCAGAAAGCCACGGCUAACUACGUGCCAGCAGCCGCGGUAAUACGUAGGUGGCAAGCGUUAUCCGGAAUUAUUGGGCGUAAAGCGCGCGUAGGCGGUUUUUUAAGUCUGAUGUGAAAGCCCACGGCUCAACCGUGGAGGGUCAUUGGAAACUGGAAAACUUGAGUGCAGAAGAGGAAAGUGGAAUUCCAUGUGUAGCGGUGAAAUGCGCAGAGAUAUGGAGGAACACCAGUGGCGAAGGCGACUUUCUGGUCUGUAACUGACGCUGAUGUGCGAAAGCGUGGGGAUCAAACAGGAUUAGAUACCCUGGUAGUCCACGCCGUAAACGAUGAGUGCUAAGUGUUAGGGGGUUUCCGCCCCUUAGUGCUGCAGCUAACGCAUUAAGCACUCCGCCUGGGGAGUACGACCGCAAGGUUGAAACUCAAAGGAAUUGACGGGGACCCGCACAAGCGGUGGAGCAUGUGGUUUAAUUCGAAGCAACGCGAAGAACCUUACCAAAUCUUGACAUCCUUUGACAACUCUAGAGAUAGAGCCUUCCCCUUCGGGGGACAAAGUGACAGGUGGUGCAUGGUUGUCGUCAGCUCGUGUCGUGAGAUGUUGGGUUAAGUCCCGCAACGAGCGCAACCCUUAAGCUUAGUUGCCAUCAUUAAGUUGGGCACUCUAAGUUGACUGCCGGUGACAAACCGGAGGAAGGUGGGGAUGACGUCAAAUCAUCAUGCCCCUUAUGAUUUGGGCUACACACGUGCUACAAUGGACAAUACAAAGGGCAGCGAAACCGCGAGGUCAAGCAAAUCCCAUAAAGUUGUUCUCAGUUCGGAUUGUAGUCUGCAACUCGACUACAUGAAGCUGGAAUCGCUAGUAAUCGUAGAUCAGCAUGCUACGGUGAAUACGUUCCCGGGUCU
RNAcentral lists this ribosomal RNA (1372 nucleotides) under uncultured bacterium. Its description in RNAcentral is "bacterial SSU rRNA". It matches the Rfam family "Bacterial small subunit ribosomal RNA", at positions 28 to 1381 of the family's 1533-position model. The record is from RNAcentral.